GACAGAGGGUGCAAACGUUGUUCGGAAUUACUGGGCGUAAAGCGCGUGUAGGCGGCUUUGCAAGUCGGGUGUGAAAUCCCACGGCUCAACCGUGGAAGUGCACUCGAAACUGCAAGGCUAGAGUCCUGGAGAGGAAGGUGGAAUGCUUGGUGUAGAGGUGAAAUUCGUAGAUAUCAAGCGGAACACCGGUGGCGAAGGCGGCCUUCUGGACAGUGACUGACGCUGAGACGCGAAAGCGUGGGGAGCGAACAGG
RNAcentral lists this ribosomal RNA (253 nucleotides) under uncultured bacterium. RNAcentral describes it as "partial 16S ribosomal RNA". It matches the Rfam family "Bacterial small subunit ribosomal RNA", at positions 524 to 776 of the family's 1533-position model. The record is from RNAcentral.